AUCAAAUGGAGGCCAUGCUUGCAUCAGCAGCGAGUGAAGGAUGCUCACAGGAAACUAAUGUGGUGGGACCUUGUUCUUACAUUUGUCCCGUAUUUACUGAGCCCCCACUAUGUACUAGAAGCCCAGCUCCAGACCAGCUCCACAAGACGUUCCCACUCAGCCGGCAGCCGACAGGUGAACAAGCCAUAACCAGACAGAAUUGGAAAUACAGUUGUGAACAAGAAAAAACUUCCCCCAUCCCAAAGGAGUACAGUGUCCAGAAAAUCCAAAGCCAGACUACCAGCGCCCAACACAGUCAGCUCACCAUUAUUCUCCUAAGAACUUCUGGUAGCAUUUUCUUCAACGAAAUGCUCCCAAAUGAUGGUGGCACUGCCCUGCUCCCAGGAUGAGAAGCCGAGUGUACUGGAAAAUGCGAAAGAACCUAAAUACAUAUGGAGGCACGCAAUUGGUGGUGGGGGAGACCCGCUGUCCAGUCUGUGAUAGGAGAAAUGGGUUUUUGUAAAGGAUGCC
This 510-nucleotide long non-coding RNA is filed under the name Equus caballus (horse). RNAcentral describes it as "lncRNA (ENSECAG00000047414.1)". Lineage: Eukaryota; Metazoa; Chordata; Mammalia; Perissodactyla; Equidae. The record is from RNAcentral.